Molecule: ribosomal RNA, 399 nt
Filed under: uncultured bacterium
Lineage: Bacteria
Description: bacterial SSU rRNA
Rfam family: Bacterial small subunit ribosomal RNA
Source: RNAcentral
GGAAUAUUGCACAAUGGGCGAAAGCCUGAUGCAGCGACGCCGCGUGAGCGAAGAAGUAUUUCGGUAUGUAAAGCUCUAUCAGCAGGGAAGAAAAUGACGGUACCUGACUAAGAAGCCCCGGCUAACUACGUGCCAGCAGCCGCGGUAAUACGUAGGGGGCAAGCGUUAUCCGGAUUUACUGGGUGUAAAGGGGGCGCAGGCGGUUUGGCAAGUCUGAAGUGAAAGCCCGUGGCUCAACUGCGGGACUGCUUUGGAAACUGUCAAACUAGAGUAUCGGAGAGGCAAGUGGAAUUCCUGGUGUAGCGGUGAAAUGCGUAGAUAUCAGGAGGAACACCGGUGGCGAAGGCGGCUUGCUGGACGAUAACUGACGCUGAGGCCCGAAAGCGUGGGGAGCAAACA